RNAcentral lists this long non-coding RNA (1436 nucleotides) under Helianthus annuus (common sunflower). Its description in RNAcentral is "hypothetical non coding rna". Lineage: Eukaryota; Viridiplantae; Streptophyta; Magnoliopsida; Asterales; Asteraceae. The record is from RNAcentral.
AUGUUUAUGACUUUUGUAAACUUUGGUUGGACUAUUGGCAACUGAUUAUAUUACUAAAUGUUGAAUUCGGAUAUGCUGAAUUAGUCAUUACUACUCACAGAACCUACAUAUCCUAAAUGCAUGGCUAGCUACUUUUACAGUUUUACCCUAUUUUUUUUUUUUUUGCACGGCUAGAAAACUUUCAUUAGAAUCCAGCAAACAAACACAACAGGGGCUAGCAAGUUACUCUUACCCUAGAUACAUUAACAACAUUUUUUGUUCUCUGAUUUAGUGGGCUAGCAAGUUACUCUUAUCCUAAACACAUUAAGAGUAUUUUUUUGUUCUGCAUUUUCCAGUAUUUAUUUCUAAUUAAUAAAUUCUGAAUUAGUUCUCUAAGUUCUAGUUUUUUGUUCUCUGAUUCAAUUAAAUUUUAAUGUUAAAUCAAGGCAUAUUUAGUAAUUUUACUAAUUUAUUUAAAAUAUCUCUCAUAAGUAAACAAAAAAAAGAAUUUAAUAAAAUAUAAAAAAAGAAUAAAUUGUAUCCCUUCUCUCUCUCUCUCUCUCACAUAACUCUCAUUCUCUCUCUCUCUUAACUCUCUCUAACCUCCCUUAUCUCUCUCUCUCUCUCACAUAACUCUCAUUCUCUCUCUCUCUCUCUUAACUCUCUCUAACCUCCUGUACCCACCACCAUUUUAGCACCACCACCAUAAACAAUCCUCCAUUUUCUCUCUGUUCUGAGUUCUCCACAACCACCAACCGGCCACCGCCACUCAACUUCUCCAACAUCAGAUCUGUAUUGAUUUCCCUUUAUCAAUACCCACUUUAAUCAAACCAAGAUCUAGUUCUUUUUUAAAACAAAUCCAAAAAUCAAACCCACAUAAACCCAUCCAUUCAAACCCCUCAACCACCGUCCACCGCCGCCGCUCCCACCUCAACCACCGCGACCACUCCCAAACUAACACACUCUUCUUUUAUCUUACCCACCAAACUAACACACUCCUCUCUCUUUACUCCCUCUCUACCAAAUUUGGUGACUGGUACCCAAAUUAAUUACCCAAACUAUGCCCAUGAAAUUGUGAAACUUGGUGUAAGCUGCUUAUUUAUCAGUUAUACGUGGGACCAUCAUUAAGCAACGAGAGAACCGAAUAAACCACACGGUCGUCAGCAAAACCCCUUUACGGACACCAUUUCCGACGCUAUUAACUCUCUGAUCAACUUUUCUAUUCAUUUCAGUCUGCUUCCAUUUCUCAUUAAGAUGGAUCAUGGGAGUCGGUGCUUUAUUGGGGAAGAUGAACAGGAUUUUGAGAGAGAGAGAGAGAGAGAGUCAAAGAUAAUUGAGAGAGAUAAAGUGUUUAGAGAGAGAGGGUGGUUUUUGGAAUAUUUAUAUUUUGUUUUAUUCAUAUAAAAUGUAAAACUAAAAUAAAAGAGUGAAAUGACCAACUUGUCCUUAUUUGCUUU